Molecule: ribosomal RNA, 439 nt
Filed under: uncultured bacterium
Lineage: Bacteria
Description: partial 16S ribosomal RNA
Rfam family: Bacterial small subunit ribosomal RNA
Source: RNAcentral
CCUACGGGAGGCAGCAGUAAGGAAUCUUCCGCAAUGGGCGAAAGCCUGACGGAGCAACGCCACGUGGGCGAUGAAGGCCUUCGGGUCGUAAAGCCCUUUUCUGUGGGACGAUAAUGACGGUACCACAGGAAUAAGCCACGGCUAACUACGUGCCAGCAGCCGCGGUAAUACGUAGGUGGCUAGCGUUAUCCGGAUUCACUGGGCGUAAAGAGCGCGUAGGCGGUGUGCUAAGUUGGACGUGAAAGCCCCCGGCUAAACCGGGGGAGGUCGUCCAAUACUGGUGCACUUGAGGGUGGACGGGGAAAGCGGAAUCCCGGGUGUAGUGGUAAAAUGCGUAGAUAUCGGGAGGAACCCCAGUGGCGAAGGCGGCUUUCUAGACCACUCCUGACGCUGAGGCGCGAAAGCGUGGGGAGCGACCGGGAUGAGAUCCCCUAGUAUU